AUGAAGGCAACUUUACGACUUUUCUUCUUAAACCUGCGCCUACUCACUAUGUCCAGGAGCUCAAUUGUGUCGACCCCAGGAGGUCUAUAAAGGCACGGCACACCCAGGAAUGUGUGGGUGAGACUGACCCUGGAGCCACGUUUGAUGUGGACCAACAGCACAGCUGAUUAUUCACUGGAAAAAACUCCUCUCUGCAUUGUCCAAUAUCAGGAAUGUUGAAAAAGGAGAGUGGGUGGCAUGGGCCUGGCAGCUAGAUAAGACAGACUUUUAGAGUCUCAUUGCUGGCUAUAUCACCAUGUGUGUGGAAUCCCAUUGCCAAGACAGCCAAUGUCAGGCUGAAGAAGGCCUGAAAGAGCUGCUCAUUGUUAUCCGGUCAACUCCAACGAAGUGUCAAACAGCUGACAUGGAGAAAGGACCAAGCACCACGGACACAUGGCGAUACAUUAUCAUGCAAAUAUUAACAGAGUCUGAGUACCCCUGGGAAAGGGAACCUGGAUGUACAAAAUCUUUUUGACGUCUAUUUCCAGAGCCCUGCUGAAGCCAGGCCCAGCAUCAGUCGAUGAGAAGACUGAUGCAGGAUGUCCCCUCUGCAAUUGGCACCAAGGGAAUUUGUGGAAGAUACUCUGCUUGGAUAAGACUGAAAUGCAAAACAACUGGUUUAAAAACAUUUAAACCAAUUAAACUGACUUUAAUCUCAGAAUUCUGACUUUAAUGUCAGAAUUAGG
Long non-coding RNA from Xiphophorus maculatus (southern platyfish), 725 nucleotides. RefSeq lists it as uncharacterized. NCBI's taxonomy places the organism in Eukaryota, Metazoa, Chordata, Actinopteri, Cyprinodontiformes, Poeciliidae. The transcript is spliced from 5 exons. The record is from RefSeq and is a predicted model, not a curated record.